RNAcentral lists this non-coding RNA (644 nucleotides) under Wurmbea inusta. RNAcentral describes it as "partial transfer RNA-Leu". The stretch from base 1 to 216 matches the Rfam family "Group I catalytic intron". Lineage: Eukaryota; Viridiplantae; Streptophyta; Magnoliopsida; Liliales; Colchicaceae. The record is from RNAcentral.
GACUUGAUUAGAUUGAGCCUUGGUACGGAAACCUGCUAAGUGGUAACUUCCAAAUUCAGAGAAACCCUGGAAUUAAAAAUGGGCAAUCCUGAGCCAAAUCUUUAUGUUAAGAAAACAAAGGAUAGGUGCAGAGACUCAAUGGAAGCUGUUCUAACAAAUGGAAUUGACGUUGACUACGUUGCGUUGGUAGCUGGAAUCCCUCUAUCGAAAUUACAGAAAGGAUGCCCCUAUAUGCGUAUAUAUACAUACUGACAUAUCAAACGAUUAAUUACAACUCGAAUCUGGAAUCCAUACUAUAUAAAUAUAACUAUAAUAUUAGAAUAAUAUUCUAAUAUAUAGAAUAUCUAGUUAUAGAAUAUAUAGUUAUCAUUCUAUAUAUUUUCUUUUUCUAUUUAAUAAAGAUAUAUUUCUUUAGUAAUUUAUAGAUUAAUUAAGAGUUAUUAUAACUAUAUUUCAGUCGAAGUUGAAGGAAGAAUCGAAUAUUCAGUAUUCAGUGAUCAAAUCAUUCAUUCCGAAGUCGGGUAAAUCUUUUGAAAAAAUGAUUAAUCAGACGAGAAUAAAGAGAGAGUCCUGUUCUACGUGUCAAUGCCGACAGGAAUGAAAUUUAUAGUAUUAGGAAAAUCCGUCGACUUUAGAAAUCGUGA